Molecule: ribosomal RNA, 437 nt
Filed under: uncultured bacterium
Lineage: Bacteria
Description: bacterial SSU rRNA
Rfam family: Bacterial small subunit ribosomal RNA
Source: RNAcentral
AACGCGAAGAACCUUACCAACCCUUGACAUGUCCCGUAUGGGUGCUGGAGACGGCAUCCUUCAGUUCGGCUGGCGGGAACACAGGUGCUGCAUGGCUGUCGUCAGCUCGUGUCGUGAGAUGUUGGGUUAAGUCCCGCAACGAGCGCAACCCUCGCCCUUAGUUGCCACCAUUGAGUUGGGCACUCUAGGGGGACUGCCGGCGUUAAGCCGGAGGAAGGUGGGGACGACGUCAAGUCAUCAUGGCCCUUAUGUCCAGGGCUACACACGUGCUACAAUGGGCGGUACAAAGGGUCGCAAACCCGCGAGGGGGAGCCAAUCCCAAAAAACCGCUCUCAGUUCGGAUUGGAGUCUGCAACUCGACUCCAUGAAGUUGGAAUCGCUAGUAAUCGCGGAUCAGAACGCCGCGGUGAAUACGUUCCCGGGCCUUGUACACACCG